UGAGAAGGCUGGCCUGAAAGAGCAAGCUGCGUGUGCAGAGACCACUAUCAGAGGCUUUUGAUUAGAGAAGUGAGGCCUUUUCAUAGGCAAUAGUUUAUUGAGCGCUAGCACAAUUCCUGGAAAUUUCCUAAAUGUCAGAAACCCCUAAACAUUUCAGAGUACUUUAUACAGAUUGGCUUCUUUAUUUCCCAUAUGAGUUUAGUUAGAUUCUGAUCCAUGGUUUGGAUUUGGUCUUUAAAUCUUAAGAACAGUGGGAAGUCAUCAAGGGUUUGAAGGAGAGAACAGCAAAAUUAGAUGUGAAUUAUAAAUAUUUCUCCUCUAGGAUAAAGAGCAGAUGUAAGCGUGUAGUGGGCACAAAGGCACAAGCUUGGCAGGCUGUUGUAGAUGGGUCAUCUGUAUAAUGGAUAGUGGAAACUGGUAAAUGGGUUAAAAAGAUGGGGUCUCAGUUUCCCCAGGAAGCAGCUUGUUCAUAGGUAGGUAUUUAGACUGAAGAAUAAAAAAUUUGAAGGGCGCUGUCAUUGUUUUUAGCUAGAUGAACUAGGUGUUCAAUCUGUGCCCUUUUGUGGGAUAAAGUAAAGUAAGUGUGAAAGGAAAUGGGCAUGGACUUUGAUUCCAGUUUGUGUCUAAUAUUAAGAUAAUUUUCCGUACUUUAUUGAAAAUUAUUAGCUUUAGCCUUAUUCGGCACUGGUUACUUAUUGAGGUGAGCCUGUGUUUUGAUAGUGUGUUCCUCUCAGUCUCAGUCUGGUAACAUCUACCAUUGCCAGAUCUUCUGUUACUUGCUUCCUGCCUGAAGGUUAUGCAGCUGUGUUUAGUACAGUAAUGAUGAGAGGGAGUGUGUGUGUUUCCUGGUUGUCAGCUUUGGUUCAUAAAUGGCUUUUGUCUUAAACCAUUACUUUGACCUAUGUACAAGGCCUGUCUCCUGAAGCUUUUUU
This 932-nucleotide long non-coding RNA is filed under the name Rattus norvegicus (Norway rat). RNAcentral's name for it is "long non-coding RNA NONRATT019251". Lineage: Eukaryota; Metazoa; Chordata; Mammalia; Rodentia; Muridae. The record is from RNAcentral.